Molecule: ribosomal RNA, 682 nt
Filed under: uncultured bacterium
Lineage: Bacteria
Description: bacterial SSU rRNA
Rfam family: Bacterial small subunit ribosomal RNA
Source: RNAcentral
CUGGGAUAACACCUGGAAACAGAUGCUAAUACCGGAUAACAACACUAGACGCAUGUCUAGAGUUUGAAAGAUGGUUCUGCUAUCACUCUUGGAUGGACCUGCGGUGCAUUAGCUAGUUGGUAAGGUAACGGCUUACCAAGGCAAUGAUGCAUAGCCGAGUUGAGAGACUGAUCGGCCACAUUGGGACUGAGACACGGCCCAAACUCCUACGGGAGGCAGCAGUAGGGAAUCUUCCACAAUGGACGAAAGUCUGAUGGAGCAACGCCGCGUGAGUGAAGAAGGGUUUCGGCUCGUAAAGCUCUGUUGGUAGUGAAGAAAGAUAGAGGUAGUAACUGGCCUUUAUUUGACGGUAAUUACUUAGAAAGUCACGGCUAACUACGUGCCAGCAGCCGCGGUAAUACGUAGGUGGCAAGCGUUGUCCGGAUUUAUUGGGCGUAAAGCGAGUGCAGGCGGUUCAAUAAGUCUGAUGUGAAAGCCUUCGGCUCAACCGGAGAAUUGCAUCAGAAACUGUUGAACUUGAGCGCAGAAGAGGAGAGUGGAACUCCAUGUGUAGCGGUGGAAUGCGUAGAUAUAUGGAAGAACACCAGUGGCGAAGGCGGCUCUCUGGUCUGCAACUGACGCUGAGGCUCGAAAGCAUGGGUAGCGAACAGGAUUAGAUACCCUGGUAGUCCAUGCCGUAAAC